UUGAGGAUGAUGAAAACGAUCAGACGGAUUCCCAUUGAUUAUUCCAUGAGAACAGUACCAGCUACUUCUGACUCUU
Molecule: small nucleolar RNA, 76 nt
Organism: Hibiscus syriacus
Lineage: Eukaryota; Viridiplantae; Streptophyta; Magnoliopsida; Malvales; Malvaceae
Product: small nucleolar RNA R12
Exons: 1
Source: RefSeq, a predicted model, not a curated record